Molecule: long non-coding RNA, 443 nt
Filed under: Helianthus annuus (common sunflower)
Lineage: Eukaryota; Viridiplantae; Streptophyta; Magnoliopsida; Asterales; Asteraceae
Description: hypothetical non coding rna
Source: RNAcentral
UUUUGUUGGACCGACGAAUAUGCGACUUUCGGUUAAACUCCGAUAUGCGGCGUGCUCUCCUCCUCCCAUAACAAAGAUGUCACUUUGAGGCCUUGUACGGCUGUAGUGUAGCUGCAACAUCCGCUGGAGCAUUCUUGGGGUAGUUCUAUGCGCUUUCUUUACACUUUCUCCACCGUUGAAGAGUUCUGGAGACUUUUACUUGAUGAAUGGAGAAGCUGGAUAGAAAGUCUUUUGAAAGCUACAGGACAAUGAACAAUAGGCUGCCGGAGCCCAAAAUCGUCGGGCAAUUCGUCAUUCGUCAGUUAGACGUGCAUCUUUUGCACAACUUACCUACAUAACACUAUGUGUUAGUAUGCUAAGUUGUGAUGAAUUUUAUGCGAAGUUGUGAUGAACUUUAAACCGUACAACAUUUUGUAUAGCUUCAUAUUGUACGUCUUUCAUAU